UACGUAGGGUGCGAGCGUUGUCCGGAAUUAUUGGGCGUAAAGGGCUCGUAGGCGGUUUGUCGCGUCGGGAGUGAAAACCUUGGGCUUAACUCAGGGCUUGCUUUCGAUACGGGCAGACUAGAGGUAUGCAGGGGAGAACGGAAUUCCUGGUGUAGCGGUGAAAUGCGCAGAUAUCAGGAGGAACACCGGUGGCGAAGGCGGUUCUCUGGGCAUUAUCUGACGCUGAGGAACGAAAGUGUGGGGAGCAAACAGG
RNAcentral lists this ribosomal RNA (253 nucleotides) under uncultured bacterium. RNAcentral describes it as "partial 16S ribosomal RNA". It matches the Rfam family "Bacterial small subunit ribosomal RNA", at positions 524 to 776 of the family's 1533-position model. The record is from RNAcentral.